This 433-nucleotide ribosomal RNA is filed under the name uncultured bacterium. Its description in RNAcentral is "partial 16S ribosomal RNA". It matches the Rfam family "Bacterial small subunit ribosomal RNA", at positions 29 to 507 of the family's 1533-position model. The record is from RNAcentral.
AGCGAACGCUGGCGGCAGGCUUAACACAUGCAAGUCGAGCGGGCCCUUCGGGGUCAGCGGCCGACGGGUGAGUAACACGUGGGAACGUACCCUUUGGUUCGGAAUAACGCUGGGAAACUAGCGCUAAUACCGGAUACGCCCUUUUGGGGAAAGGCUUGCUGCCGAAGGAUCGGCCCGCGUCUGAUUAGCUAGUUGGUGGGGUAAUGGCCUACCAAGGCGACGAUCAGUAGCUGGUCUGAGAGGAUGAUCAGCCACACUGGGACUGAGACACGGCCCAGACUCCUACGGGAGGUAGCAGUGGGGAAUAUUGGACAAUGGGCGCAAGCCUGAUCCAGCCAUGCCGCGUGAGUGAUGAAGGCCUUAGGGUUGUAAAGCUCUUUUGUCCGGGACGAUAAUGACGGUACCGGAAGAAUAAGCCCCGGCUAACUUCGUG